RNAcentral lists this ribosomal RNA (472 nucleotides) under uncultured bacterium. Its description in RNAcentral is "bacterial SSU rRNA". It matches the Rfam family "Bacterial small subunit ribosomal RNA", at positions 328 to 793 of the family's 1533-position model. The record is from RNAcentral.
CUCUGUGUCUCCUACGGGAGGCAGCAGUGGGGAAUAUUGCACAAUGGGGGAAACCCUGAUGCAGCCAUGCCGCGUGUGUGAAGAAGGCCUUCGGGUUGUAAAGCACUUUCAGUAGGGAGGAAGGUAGUGUAGUUAACACCUGCAUUACUUUGACGUUACCUACAGAAGAAGCACCGGCUAACUCCGUGCCAGCAGCCGCGGUAAUACGGAGGGUGCGAGCGUUAAUCGGAAUUACUGGGCGUAAAGCGCAUGCAGGCGGCUUGUUAAGUCAGAUGUGAAAGCCCGGGGCUUAACCUCGGAAUUGCAUUUGAAACUGGCAGGCUAGAGUCUUGUAGAGGGGGUAGAAUUUCAGGUGUAGCGGUGAAAUGCGUAGAGAUCUGAAGGAAUACCAGUGGCGAAGGCGGCCCCCUGGACAAAGACUGACGCUCAGAUGCGAAAGCGUGGGGAGCAAACAGGAUUAGAUACCCUGUAG